ACGUCCGUCGUGAAGAGGGAAACAACCCAGACCGCCAGCUAAGGUCCCAAAGUCAUGGUUAAGUGGGAAACGAUGUGGGAAGGCCCAGACAGCCAGGAUGUUGGCUUAGAAGCAGCCAUCAUUUAAAGAAAGCGUAAUAGCUCACUGGUCGAGUCGGCCUGCGCGGAAGAUGUAACGGGGCUAAACCAUGCACCGAAGCUGCGGCAGCGACACUGUGUGUUGUUGGGUAGGGGAGCGUUCUGUAAGCCUGUGAAGGUGUGUCGUGAGGCAUGCUGGAGGUAUCAGAAGUGCGAAUGCUGACAUAAGUAACGAUAAAGCGGGUGAAAAGCCCGCUCGCCGGAAGACCAAGGGUUCCUGUCCAACGUUAAUCGGGGCAGGGUGAGUCGACCCCUAAGGCGAGGCCGAAAGGCGUAGUCGAUGGGAAACGGGUUAAUAUUCCCGUACUUGGUGUUACUGCGAAGGGGGGACGGAGAAGGCUAUGUUGGCCGGGCGACGGUUGUCCCGGUUUAAGCGUGUAGGUGUGUGUUCCAGGUAAAUCCGGUUCACUUUAACACUGAGGCGUGACGACGAGGCACUACGGUGCUGAAGCAACAAAUGCCCUGCUUCCAGGAAAAGCCUCUAAGCAUCAGGUAACAUCAAAUCGUACCCCAAACCGACACAGGUGGUCAGG
RNAcentral lists this ribosomal RNA (670 nucleotides) under Salmonella enterica subsp. enterica serovar Stanley. Its description in RNAcentral is "partial 23S ribosomal RNA". It matches the Rfam family "Bacterial large subunit ribosomal RNA", at positions 1001 to 1671 of the family's 2925-position model. The record is from RNAcentral. Lineage: Bacteria; Pseudomonadati; Pseudomonadota; Gammaproteobacteria; Enterobacterales; Enterobacteriaceae.